Molecule: non-coding RNA, 114 nt
Filed under: Gordonia amarae
Lineage: Bacteria; Bacillati; Actinomycetota; Actinomycetes; Mycobacteriales; Gordoniaceae
Also listed under: 1 other name
Description: TPP sequence
Rfam family: TPP riboswitch aptamer (THI element)
About the family: Vitamin B(1) in its active form thiamin pyrophosphate (TPP) is an essential coenzyme that is synthesised by coupling of pyrimidine and thiazole moieties in bacteria. The previously detected thiamin-regulatory element, thi box was extended, resulting in a new, highly conserved RNA secondary structure, the THI element, which is widely distributed in eubacteria and also occurs in some archaea.
Source: RNAcentral
CGAGGAAGACACGGGAGCCCAUGGGAACGCUGGGCUGAGAGUGCGGGCCGCCCCCCGCUGACCGUCAGACCUGAUCCGGGUAAUGCCGGCGAAGGAAGAAGGAUUGUUGUGGCA